RNAcentral lists this transfer RNA (78 nucleotides) under Ignavibacteriales bacterium. RNAcentral's name for it is "tRNA-Val". It matches the Rfam family "tRNA". From Rfam's summary of the family: Transfer RNA (tRNA) molecules are approximately 80 nucleotides in length. Their secondary structure includes four short double-helical elements and three loops (D, anti-codon, and T loops). The record is from RNAcentral. Lineage: Bacteria; Pseudomonadati; Ignavibacteriota; Ignavibacteria; Ignavibacteriales.
GGGCGUUUAGCUCAGUUGGUUUAGAGCAUCUGCCUUACAAGCAGAGGGUCCGCGGUUCAAAUCCGUGAACGCCCACAA